Molecule: RNA transcript, 1363 nt
Organism: Panicum virgatum (switchgrass)
Lineage: Eukaryota; Viridiplantae; Streptophyta; Magnoliopsida; Poales; Poaceae
Gene name: proteasome assembly chaperone 3-like
Exons: 8
Source: RefSeq, a predicted model, not a curated record
CCGUCCAGGUCCAGCCGCCCUCUCUCUCUCCGCCGCCCUCCUCGCCCCCGGCGACGGCGCGCACACAGCGAUCCCCACUCAUACUUGCCCCGAGCCAAACUGGACUGGGAGCGGGCCGGAAACAUAUCCGGACUCGGAUUGAUUUCCUCUCUCGUCGGUCGGUUAGUAAACAAAACCUAGCUUCCUCCCAGUCAGGCGGAGUUGGUUCUGCUCCCAAUCAGGAGAAUCCAAGUAUUUUUUCUUCCUCCCACUCCGUUUAGUUGCGGAUUUUCUUGCUGCCUGAGAAGGCUGCUGAUCCAAUUCCUCAGUCCGUCCCUCCUUGGGGCUCGAUUUGUCUCUUCGUCUUCUUCAGCGCGCAGAUCGAUUACGGUGGACGCUUACCACAGGACCUUCCGACAUCAAGCUCUGUUGAUUCGGUAGAUGGAGGUGCCAAUGAACUCUGCGCAGUCCGGUGCUCACUUCCCAGUUCAGCAUCGGUCCCUCUCGCUAGACAUCAAGGGCAAUAAGACAGACAUUGUUUUAAGUAAAUAUGAAGAUACCUUUCUGGUGAUUGUGACACAAAUUGGCUGCAUGGGGACCAUACUGGCUGCCAAGAAAGAUGAAAGUGUUUUCUCGGACCCGACCUACAAUGUGACUGUUCUUUUCGGGAAGAGAGAUGAGCCCGUCCUACUAGCUUGUGCACGCCAACUUAUUGAGCACAUAAGGUACACCAUUUUCGUACUAUUGGGUACACAAAGAAAUCAUAUAUAUUGAGAACUCACGCAGCAUUGUACAUUCAUUUUUGUAGUGGCAGUGGCUCAGCACGGUCAUUAGUGAUCUCUCUUGGUCUGAAAGAUCAUUCUCAGGGAACACUUAAGGAUAUAAUUGCAGCUGUGAUUGUGAAUCGUCUUUGGUGAUGGUUUUGAUCAACUGAGCUGGAGUUGGGAUGCACUGAGCCGCUGAAGACACUGACGUGAACAUAUAACAAUGAGCAAGAUGAACCCUCAUUUUAUCACGUAUGAAAUUCCUAGAUCUUUGUAGGCAGAAUUUCUUUUCUACUUUAACAAAUAUAAGAGGUGGUUUUUAAGCUGUUCCGUGAUUGAUAUUGUCCUACCAUGGGCGAGGUGGGGGUGGUGGUUGAGCCUUCUCCUGUUGCCAAGAGUCGGGUCUCUCGUGCUAAACAAAAUCACUUUCGGGGGAAGCAUCUUGUUUUUUCCUCCCAUGUUGCAAGCAAGUUUUUGCUAUCCAAUCCAUUCAUCUGACAAACACAUGAAUGCCACUUGCCCUAGCCAAGCAAGAAUGAGCUCCCAUCCUGUUAGGCACUUAUAGGCUAGUAAAACAAGCUCUUUGUUCCCAUUAAUUUACAUUGAAGUGGUUUCUUCAA